AUACGGAGGGUGCAAGCGUUAUCCGGAUUUAUUGGGUUUAAAGGGUGCGUAGGCGGUUAUUUAAGUCAGUGGGGAAAGUUUUCGGCUCAAACGGAAAAUUGCCAUUGAUAAUGGGUAGCUAGAAUAUGGUUGCUGUGCGUAGAAUGUGUGGUGUAGCGGUGAAAUGCAUAGAUAUCACACAGAAUACCGAUUGCGAAGGCAUCUCACAAAGCCAUCAUUGACGCUUAGGCACGAAAGUGUGUGGAUCAAACAGGAUUAGAUACCCUGGUAGUCCACACUGUAAACGAUGAUAACUAGCUGUUGGCGAUACAGAGUCAGUGGCCAAGCGAAAGCGAUAAGUUAUCCACCUGGGGAGUACGACCGCAAGGCUUAAACUCAAAUGAAUUGACGGGG
RNAcentral lists this ribosomal RNA (393 nucleotides) under uncultured bacterium. RNAcentral's name for it is "partial 16S ribosomal RNA". It matches the Rfam family "Bacterial small subunit ribosomal RNA", at positions 523 to 918 of the family's 1533-position model. The record is from RNAcentral.